GGAGGGUGCAAGCGUUGCCCGGAAUUAUUGGGUGUAAAGGAUGCGCAGGCGUCUCGACAAGUUUUCGGUGAAAUCUUCCGGCUUAACCGGGGACGUGCCGGAAAAACUGUCGAGAUUGAGUCCGGAAUAGGUUGGCGGAAUUCGUGGUGUAGCGGUGAAAUGCAUAGAGAUCACGAAGAACACCGGUGGCGAAAGCGGCCAACUGGUCCGGCACUGACGCUCAGGCAUGAGAGCGUGGGUAGCGAACAGGAUUAGAUACCCUGGUAGUCCACGCUGUAAACGAUGUAUGCUAGUUGUCGGCCCUCGGGGCCGGUGACGCAGUUAACGCGCUAAGCAUACCACCUGGGGAGUACGUUCGCAAGAAUG
RNAcentral lists this ribosomal RNA (366 nucleotides) under uncultured bacterium. RNAcentral describes it as "bacterial SSU rRNA". It matches the Rfam family "Bacterial small subunit ribosomal RNA", at positions 527 to 896 of the family's 1533-position model. The record is from RNAcentral.